AGACGUAGCAAUACGUUUGUAAAGCGGCGAACGGGUGAGGAAUACAUGGGUAACCUACCCUAGAGUGGGGAAUAACUAGCCGAAAGGUUAGCUAAUACCGCGUACGCUCCUUGGACUUCGGUACAGGGAGGAAAGCGAUACCGUGGGUAUCGCGCUCUUGGGUGGGCUCAUGUCCUAUCAGCUUGUUGGUGAGGUAACGGCUCACCAAGGCUUCGACGGGUAGCUGGUCUGAGAGGACGAUCAGCCACACUGGCACUGCGACACGGGCCAGACUCCUACGGGAGGCAGCAGUAAGGAAUAUUGCGCAAUGGGCGAAAGCCUGACGCAGCGACGCCGCGUGGGGGAUGAAGGUCUUCGGA
Molecule: ribosomal RNA, 359 nt
Filed under: uncultured bacterium
Lineage: Bacteria
Description: bacterial SSU rRNA
Rfam family: Bacterial small subunit ribosomal RNA
Source: RNAcentral